CUACGGGGGGUGCAAGCGUUAUUCGGAUUUAUCGGGCGUAAAGGGCGCGUAGGCGGCUUGGUAAGUCAGAUGUGAAAGCCCGGGGCUUAACCCCGGAAGUGCAUUUGAAACUAUCAGGCUUGAGUAUGGGAGAGGGAAGUGGAAUUCCUGGUGUAGAGGUGAAAUUCGUAGAUAUCAGGAGGAACACCGGUGGCGAAGGCGACUUCCUGGACCAAUACUGACGCUGAGGCGCGAAGGCGUGGGGAGCAAACGGGAUUAGAAACCCCGGUAGUCC
Molecule: ribosomal RNA, 274 nt
Filed under: uncultured bacterium
Lineage: Bacteria
Description: partial 16S ribosomal RNA
Rfam family: Bacterial small subunit ribosomal RNA
Source: RNAcentral